AGCAGCCGCGGUAAUUCCAGCUCCAAUAGCGUAUAUUAAAGUUGUUGCAGUUAAAAAGCUCGUAGUUGAAUUUCGGGAUCAAUAUGCUGGUCGUGCCAUUGGUACGUACUAGUAUUAUUGGUUUCUCCUUUCUGAUGAAUCAUGAUGUCAUUAAUUUGAUGUCAUGAGGAAUCAGGACUGUUACUUUGAAAAAUUAGAGUGUUUAAAGCAGGCUCGCGCUUGAAUACAUUAGCAUGGAAUAAUGAAAUAGGACGUUUGAUUCUAUUUUGUUGGUUUCUAGGAUCGACGUAAUGAUUAAUAGGGAUAGUUGGGGGCAUUAGUAUUCAAUUGUCAGAGGUGAAAUUCUUGGAUUUAUUGAAGACUAACUACUGCGAAAGCAUUUGCCAAGGAUGUUUUCAUUAAUCAAGAACGAAAGUUAGGGGAUCGAAGACGAUCAGAUACCGUCGUAGUCUUAACCAUAAACUAUGCCGACUAGGGAUCGGAUGAUGUUAAUUUUU
Molecule: unclassified non-coding RNA, 497 nt
Filed under: uncultured Glomus
Lineage: Eukaryota; Fungi; Glomeromycota; Glomeromycetes; Glomerales; Glomeraceae
Description: SSU rRNA
Rfam family: Eukaryotic small subunit ribosomal RNA
Source: RNAcentral